This 497-nucleotide ribosomal RNA is filed under the name uncultured bacterium. RNAcentral's name for it is "partial 16S ribosomal RNA". It matches the Rfam family "Bacterial small subunit ribosomal RNA", at positions 28 to 507 of the family's 1533-position model. The record is from RNAcentral.
GAUGAACGCUGGCGGCGUGCCUAAUACAUGCAAGUCGAGCGAACGGACGAGAAGCUUGCUUCUCUGAUGUUAGCGGCGGACGGGUGAGUAACACGUGGAUAACCUACCUAUAAGACUGGGAUAACUUCGGGAAACCGGAGCUAAUACCGGAUAAUAUUUUGAACCGCAUGGUUCAAAAGUGAAAGACGGUCUUGCUGUCACUUAUAGAUGGAUCCGCGCUGCAUUAGCUAGUUGGUAAGGUAACGGCUUACCAAGGCAACGAUGCAUAGCCGACCUGAGAGGGGGAUCGGCCACACGGGAACUGAGACACGGUCCAGACUCCUACGGGAGGCAGCAGUAGGGAAUCUUCCGCAAUGGGCGAAAGCCUGACGGAGCAACGCCGCGUGUGUGAUGAAGGUCUUCGGAUCGUAAAACUCUGUUAUUAGGGAAGAACAUAUGUGUAAGUAACUGUGCACAUCUUGACGGUACCUAAUCAGAAAGCCACGGCUAACUACGUG